UCGGGAAUUUUGGGCAAUGGGCGAAAGCCUGACCCAGCAACGCCGCGUGAGGGAUGAAGUAUUUCGGUAUGUAAACCUCGAAAGAAUGGGAAGAAUAAAUGACGGUACCAUUUAUAAGCUCCGGCUAACUACGUGCCAGCAGCCGCGGUAAUACGUAGGGAGCAAGCGUUGUUCGGAUUUACUGGGCGUAAAGGGCGCGUAGGCGGCGCGGUAAGUCACUUGUGAAGUCUCUGAGCUUAACUCAGAACGGCCAAGUGAUACUGCUGUGCUAGAGUGCGGAAGAGGCAACCGGAAUUCUGGGUGUAGCGGUGAAAUGCGUAGAUAUCAAGAGGAACACCUGAGGCGAAGGCGGGUUGCUGGGCCGACACUGACGCUGAUGCGCGAAAGCCAGGGGAGCAAACG
RNAcentral lists this ribosomal RNA (402 nucleotides) under uncultured bacterium. RNAcentral describes it as "bacterial SSU rRNA". It matches the Rfam family "Bacterial small subunit ribosomal RNA", at positions 355 to 774 of the family's 1533-position model. The record is from RNAcentral.